AUGUGAUCCAGUUGUUGCUUUAGAAAGGUCACUUUUCAUGGCUGAAUGUAGGAUAAAUUACAGGAGGGUGAGUGCAGGGAGAGAGGAAUAUGGAGUCUAAUGCACUAGGUAGUCCAGGGGAGGGAUGUGGCUGGCAUGAACAAGGGCAGUGACAGGGGUGAUGGAGAGUAGGGAUAUGGAUUUGAGGACUUUCCAUUAACAGGACUUGGGGAUCAAAGUGCAUGAAGAGGAAGAAGAAGAGGAACUAUGAGCCAUGAGAAAAUAUGGUGACAGCUGACAUCACCUCCUCCAAUCCCUCCAAUUCAUUUCCUCCCACCUUUUAUCCUAGAAAGAACAUACAGGAGAGAAAGAGACAAUAGCUAUGACUUGAAGAAGAAGCCAUAUGAAAACCAAAAAUGGUCAACUGUCAGCACCUAAUGGAACUCUGAAAAAAAAUCUUGGGAAUUAUUUCGAGGAAAGAUAUGUUUUAGACAUUUCAGAAGAGUACAUCUUUGAUCUAAAUUGUCAGAUUAACUUCCAGAGAGCUGAUAAAUGAAAACCUUAAAAAAAAAAAAAAGAAAUCCUAUACCCGUUGAGGGUGAUGCUCUGUAGGUGCGUUGAGUCCUAGUCUCUGCUCUGCCAUCGGGACCAUCGAGGCUGGGAGAGGAAGGGAAAGGCUGGAGUAUUUGCAGAAGAUUCUGCGAUUCCAGAUAAUAAAAGAUAUAUGUCCCGGCUCCUGAAUAUAACAGGCAGCAUUGUCAGACCUGAGGCACACGGCUGCAGGGCUUUUUCUGAGAUCUGUAACCAGAAGGUGUUUGCGUGCCCAUGCCAAUGGUCUUUCUGAAGUCAUGGAGUGAAAAGAGAAUUUUCCCCAGAGGGCAGAAGAGUCUGUAUGUUGGAGCCAACCAGACGUUUCCCAGGCUCCGGUGUCGUCCUGUUCGCCAGCAAUGAGCAGAUGUUAGCUUCUUCUGAUGCACAAGGAAGAAGAGUGCAAUGCGCUCACCAUCCUGAUGUCAUCUCCGAUUGUUAUUUUUACUGUUCUUCUAAAUAAUAGGGUUUCUGGCAUGAAGACUUAUCUCAGGAUUCAGCCCAGCAGUGUUCUGAGAUCCCGGGCCCCGACGCUGAUAGAUUUAUGCAGGUUGUGAUUCUCUGACUAAUUUGCUUUGAAUGAAGUGAACACUUGGAAAAACCAAAAUGUUAUUUCCAAGAUUUUACAUCCUAACGGGAAAUACAACAGGAAAUAGAGAAAAAAAAUUAUUUUUCACUUCUGACUGUCAAAAUGGACUUUUUGUUUGUCGUUUAAAUUAAUUGGAAAAAAAAAAAAGAUAACCCAGUUAUACUUCUUCCUUCUUUACACAAAAAUUGCAAGACCUUGCGAUACUGUUUCUUCCCCUUUUGCUCACAUAAGUGAUUUUAAACAUUCUCCAUGUGGCUGGAAACGGAAUGAUUUCAUGGCUUCCCUGUUGUGCUAUGUGAAUGUGUAGGUUAGUGCUGUUGCUCUGCACGUCUCUGCACACUUCUAUUAAGGAGCCCAGAACUGAACCUCUUUCCAAGGAGGUCACAACAGGGGAGGUCACCUGGAAACCCAGGACCAGAGGCAAAUGCCAUUCCUGACUGUCUCCUCCUUUACUCCUGCGUGGCAAUGCCCGUCCCCCGAGGAGGAAUGGUGAUCCUGACUUCACAGAUGAGGAAACUUUGGUGGGGGUGGCUGGGUAACCUGUCUAAAGGAACAGAACCAGUAAGUGAGGAACCCCCGUCUGACCACUUGCUGGAAUCAUUCAUUGCUUCGAGUACUGCAUUACAGCCCCGUGAGAGGUGGUGGGGGGAGUUCUGAGGACCAGAAGUUAGUGUUGGUCUGGACAUUUGGAUGAGAUGAGGUAAAACCUGUGGGAGGCUUUGGAUGAGUUUCUGCAAUAAAAUUAUCUUUUUCUGAUUCUUCAGCCCAAAAAGUUUCUCAAAUAGACCCAACUCCAAGGGGCUUGCCCUCCCUUCCCUGGCUCUGUCAGGGAUGGCCCUCUGUAGGGUCUCAGUGGGGAGCAGCUCCCUGCAGUUCCCCCACCAGGGGAAGGAUGAGGGGAAGGACGAGGCUGCCCGGCUGCCGCUGACCGAGACCCAGCAGUCCAUAUAUUCCCCACCACCUGCAGGCUUCCCUUUCUUCACUUCAGCCAGUUUUCUUCUAACUCUGGGUGUUGGCGAAAAGGAAGAAGAAGACGUGAUUGAAAACUGGGUCACACGUCCCAUCAGCAUGCCGGAAGCACUCACAGGCACUCAGUAUGAUCUUUAAGAACUUCAGUAGAUCUGUACUUGGAAAUGAUCCUUUAGUUAUUCUGUUCCCUUAAAAAAUAGGAUUGUUUGCAUGAGCAAGUCACACAAACUCUCCAGGCCUCACAGUCACCUAAACAUUGAAAUGGAGAGGGUGACUAACAUAAAAUUUUUAAAAUGAGGGUAUGCACAAUCCAAGGUACAUAUAUAUUAAGGCCAGAACAUAGAAACAAGUUGAUGGUGCCGACCAAAAGCUCUUCAAGGGCAGGGACCACCUCUCUAAUUUCGUUUGAUUCCUCUAAUGCUUGGUGCUUAGCGCCGAGCAGGUGUCCCUAAGCCUUCUUGGCUGUCGAGCCAAGUGCUAAGAUGCAGAAGCUUUAUUUGUCCACACCAAUCUGUGCUGGGGGCCUUCCCUGCCAAAAGGGGCCAGUGAAUUAAAGAUUCCAUAAUUAGACACCGUGCUGCCCCGGGCACUCUGUCCCUGCUCGUCAGUGUCCCCGCGAUGGUGCGUGACAGUUGCCGGUCUCUCUGGGCCACCUGUUCAGCUGUUAGGAAUGUUAAUUUUACUUUAUUUUUAUUCUUGACAGAGGAAGACACAUUAUUCAAGCCCAUUGAAGAAGGGCUGCCACUUAAAACUCAAGAGAGGGAUUAUUCCCCCCUUCAACUGCAAGUCAUGGGCGGGACAGUGUAAAUGACAAAACUGAGAAAAGGCCAGUCUGCCUGUGAAAAUCAAAUACAGGCAGUGUCAAUAGUCUGAAAAGGGACUAUAUGCUUGGUUCCUUUAUUGGGUACUUAGUAUUAGUGUCCCAAAUCUUGUGUAGGACAUGUUAUUAUCCCACUAUCUCUUCACUAAACUCCCACGACAAAGCCAGUACAUUUUAGAAAUGAGAAAGUAGGUUCAGAGAGAUAAAACAGCUUGCCCAAGGUCAAGGAAAUGGUAACUGGUGAGCAGUAGUCUCUCUGAUCCCUUUAAUUACUAUCCUCUCCUCUCUCCCGCAGCCCCUCCCAUUUAAAAAAAAGAUUUUUUAUUGAUUUUUACUGAGAGAGAAAGGGAGAGGGAGAGAGAGAAACAUCAAUCCGCUGCCCCUAUCCCCACCCCCUGUCACCCCUACCAGGGAUCCAGCCUGCAACACCGGGCUUGAACCAGAAACUCCCAACCAACUGAGCCACACCUCCCGUUCUGUAUGUAGGGAGGGAGCAGGCUUUGGUGUGUUUCUCCUGCUUUCUCCUGGUCUACAGUUUGUGCUGAACAGAUAGGUUAGUAGUUUUCUGAAAAACAUAUUCUGAUUGUUUUGUUUGUAGGGUUCUAGAACAGCCGUGGGCAAACUACGGCCCGC
Myotis myotis is the source of this 3578-nucleotide long non-coding RNA. RefSeq lists it as uncharacterized. The transcript is spliced from 7 exons. The record is from RefSeq and is a predicted model, not a curated record. Lineage: Eukaryota; Metazoa; Chordata; Mammalia; Chiroptera; Vespertilionidae.